GCUUAGCCCCGAUUGCAGCCGGUAUCCUUUUUUUGGCGAGGAACGAGGCGGAAAAGAUAAAGGCGGAAAGCGGGACGAAAC
RNAcentral lists this small RNA (81 nucleotides) under Flavobacterium noncentrifugens. Its description in RNAcentral is "Flavo-1 RNA". It matches the Rfam family "Flavo-1 RNA". The record is from Rfam by way of RNAcentral. Lineage: Bacteria; Pseudomonadati; Bacteroidota; Flavobacteriia; Flavobacteriales; Flavobacteriaceae.